This 68-nucleotide transfer RNA is filed under the name Marmota monax (woodchuck). RNAcentral describes it as "tRNA.Ala". It matches the Rfam family "tRNA", at positions 5 to 66 of the family's 71-position model. From Rfam's summary of the family: Transfer RNA (tRNA) molecules are approximately 80 nucleotides in length. Their secondary structure includes four short double-helical elements and three loops (D, anti-codon, and T loops). The record is from RNAcentral. Lineage: Eukaryota; Metazoa; Chordata; Mammalia; Rodentia; Sciuridae.
GGAGUGUGGCUCAGUGGUAGAGCCUGUGCUUAGCAUGUAUGAAGCCCUGGGUUCAAUCCCCAGCACCA